CCCUUAGAUGUUCUGGGCCGCACGCGCGCUACACUGUUCGACGCAGCGAGUCUUAACCUUGACCGAAAGGUUUGGGUAAUCUUCAGCAAAGUCGAACGUGAUGGGGAUCGAUCACUGCAAUUAUUGAUCGUGAACGAGGAAUUCCUAGUAAGUGCAAGUCAUCAGCUUGCGCUGAUUACGUCCCUGCCCUUUGUACACACCGCCCGUCGCUACUACCGAUUGUAUGGUUUAGUGAGAUCUCUGGAUUGACGCUGGCUAGGGGGCGACCCUUGGCCAGGCUGUCGAGAAACUGCUCAAACUUGAUCAUUUAGAGGAAGUAAAAGUCGUAACA
This 331-nucleotide ribosomal RNA is filed under the name uncultured eukaryote. RNAcentral describes it as "partial 18S ribosomal RNA". It matches the Rfam family "Eukaryotic small subunit ribosomal RNA", at positions 1470 to 1796 of the family's 1831-position model. The record is from RNAcentral.